Non-coding RNA from Paragonimus skrjabini miyazakii, 81 nucleotides. The record is from the annotation of a GenBank genome assembly. NCBI's taxonomy places the organism in Eukaryota, Metazoa, Platyhelminthes, Trematoda, Plagiorchiida, Troglotrematidae.
GGCUUUGUCGCUCGGCCGGUAGAGCGCUGGCAGCAUUGAGGUAUGGUGUUUCUGUUGCUGGUUCAAAUCCAGCCGAAGCUC